CACGUAGGGGGCGAGCGUUGUCCGGAUUUAUUGGGCGUAAAGAGCUCGUAGGUGGCUCGGUAAGUCGGGUGUGAAAUUUCGAGGCUCAACCUCGAGACGCCACCUGAUACUGCUGUGGCUUGAGUCCGGUAGGGGAGCGUGGAAUUCCUGGUGUAGCGGUGAAAUGCGCAGAUAUCAGGAGGAACACCAGCGGCGAAGGCGGCGCUCUGGGCCGGUACUGACACUGAGGAGCGAAAGCGUGGGGAUCAAACAGG
Molecule: ribosomal RNA, 254 nt
Filed under: uncultured bacterium
Lineage: Bacteria
Description: partial 16S ribosomal RNA
Rfam family: Bacterial small subunit ribosomal RNA
Source: RNAcentral